GUGUUCAUGAUCAGGGAUGUGUAUUCCUAAGGAAAAGCCAGUCUUACAGAAUGGAAACCCAAAGAAGGUAGCAUGUGCCUCCACCAGUGGGUGACAGUCCUUUCUCUUCAGAAUUGGGAAUAUUGUCUUGGAUUUGUACCAAUGUGGCUGUGAUGUGCCUUGCAGAGGACCUUGGUGUGCUUUGUCUUUCCUGGAUCUGGAUGUCCACACAACUUUCUCAAUCUGGGAACUUUUCAGAUGACUCCCAGCAGGAGCGCUGCUCUGACCCUCGGCCACCAUACUUAAUGGCUCCAAAUGGCAAAGAGGCACACAUCUCCCGCAGUCCUGAAUCCAGACCAUGUCCAACUGCGUAGCGCGUAUCUCUGCUUGGGAUGUACAUGCAUCGCCACGCGUGACCCUACCCGCCCUCCCUGCCUUCCCCUUCAUUUUCCUAGUGACUGACCUUUCUGCUUCUACUUUUGCCACUCCCCAUCUGU
Long non-coding RNA from Tupaia belangeri chinensis (Chinese tree shrew), 476 nucleotides. RefSeq lists it as uncharacterized. The record is from RefSeq and is a predicted model, not a curated record. NCBI's taxonomy places the organism in Eukaryota, Metazoa, Chordata, Mammalia, Scandentia, Tupaiidae. The transcript has 3 exons.